GCCAGCAGCCAUAUCACCCUGCAACUCACAACUGGUAACCCACUGAAGCUAAGCAGGUGUGAGCCUGGUCAGUACCUGGAUGGGAGACCUCCUGGGAAAAACUAAGGUUGCUGCUGGAA
Lepisosteus oculatus (spotted gar) is the source of this 119-nucleotide ribosomal RNA. NCBI's taxonomy places the organism in Eukaryota, Metazoa, Chordata, Actinopteri, Semionotiformes, Lepisosteidae. The record is from Ensembl.